GUCCCGAUAUUCAUGAAAUUGACGUGUGUAACCUCCUAAACCUAGAGCAGCCCUGUUUGAAAAAAAUGGCAUCGACUCUUCUUCUGGCUGAUGCUAUAAAUAAAGAGCAGCAGGGUGGAACCAAACCAAGGAAACUGAAGUUGCACUUUGAGGAGAGACGAGAUCAUGAGGAAGCAAUACUCCCCUGUGCUCUCCUUGUGCCUGAUGGCCCUUGUCGUAGCUGCUAUGGUCUGUGUCAUGUACACCACCUCGGCACAAGCAGGAAGGAGUGGCUACAACUCGUACGAACCUGAUGGAAGGAGUGGAUACAACUCUGUUCCAAUAAACGGCGGUGGCAGCCCCUAGCCAGGCGGUGGAGCCUGUAUCAGAAAUCAAAAAAAUAUAAAGGCUCAUCGGAUGAAAACUGUGUGUGUAUUCUGUCAUGUCAUGUGUGUUGGUAUAUGAUGGCUUGGUCGUCGUAAUUAAUGUAAUGUGUGG
RNAcentral lists this long non-coding RNA (477 nucleotides) under Zea mays. Its description in RNAcentral is "drought responsive lncRNA". Lineage: Eukaryota; Viridiplantae; Streptophyta; Magnoliopsida; Poales; Poaceae. The record is from RNAcentral.